GCCCUUGUAGCACAGUGGCAGUGCGUCCCCCCGGUACGGGGAAGAUCGGCGGUUCGAAUCCGCCCUUGGGCU
This 72-nucleotide transfer RNA is filed under the name Pseudofrankia sp. EUN1h. Its description in RNAcentral is "Frankia sp. EUN1h tRNA-Thr". It matches the Rfam family "tRNA". Rfam says of the family: Transfer RNA (tRNA) molecules are approximately 80 nucleotides in length. Their secondary structure includes four short double-helical elements and three loops (D, anti-codon, and T loops). The record is from RNAcentral. Lineage: Bacteria; Bacillati; Actinomycetota; Actinomycetes; Frankiales; Frankiaceae.